This 61-nucleotide transfer RNA is filed under the name Prays oleae. Its description in RNAcentral is "tRNA-Cys". Lineage: Eukaryota; Metazoa; Arthropoda; Insecta; Lepidoptera; Praydidae. The record is from RNAcentral.
GGCCUUAUAUUCUAUUUAAGAUAUAAAAUUGCAAAUUUUAAGAAGUAAUUUACUAAGGCUU